UAGUAACUGCGGAGUGAAGCCGGAAAAGCUCAAAUUUAAAAUCUGGCGGUCUUCGGCCCGUCCGAGUUGUAAUUUAGAGAAGCGUUAUCCGUGCUUGGACCGUGUAUAAGUCUCCUGGAAUGGAGCGUCAUAGAGGGUGAGAAUCCCGUCUUUGACACGGACUACCAGUGCAUUGUGAUGCGCUCUCGACGAGUCGAGUUGUUUGGGAAUGCAGCUCAAAAUGGGUGGUAAAUGCCAUCUAAAGCUAAAUAUUGGCGAGAGACCGAUAGCGAACAAGUACCGUGAGGGAAAGAUGAAAAGAACUUUGGAAAGAGAGUUAAACAGUACGUGAAAUUGUCGAAAGGGAAACGGUUGCAGUCAGUCGCGUCCGCCGGGGAUCAACCUUGCUUUUGCUUGGCGUAUUUCCCGGUGGAUGGGUCAGCAUCAGUUUUUGACCGCAGUUGAAAGGCUGGAGGAAUGUGGCACCUUCGGGUGUGUUAUAGCCUCCUGCAUAUGCUGCGGUUGGGACUGAGGAACU
This 517-nucleotide ribosomal RNA is filed under the name Schizophyllum commune. RNAcentral describes it as "eukaryotic LSU rRNA". It matches the Rfam family "Eukaryotic large subunit ribosomal RNA", at positions 81 to 595 of the family's 3401-position model. The record is from RNAcentral. Lineage: Eukaryota; Fungi; Basidiomycota; Agaricomycetes; Agaricales; Schizophyllaceae.